AGAGUUUGAUCCUGGCUCAGGACGAACGCUGGCGGCGCGCCUAACACAUGCAAGUCGAACGGGACUAUUUUGGGAGAAGUUUUCGGAUGGAUCUCGGGAUAGUUUAGUGGCGGACGGGUGAGUAACACGUGAGCAACCUGCCUUCGAGAGGGGAAUAACGGCUGGAAACGGUCGCUAAUACCGCAUAACAUACUGGAGGGACAUCCCUUUGGUAUCAAAGAUUAUAUCGCUCGGAGAUGGGCUCGCGUCCGAUUAGGUAGUUGGUGAGGUAACGGCUCACCAAGCCGACGAUCGGUAGCCGGACUGAGAGGUCGAACGGCCACAUUGGGACUGAGACACGGCCCAGACUCCUACGGGAGGCAGCAGUGGGGGAUAUUGCACAAUGGGGGAAACCCUGAUGCAGCGACGCCGCGUGUGGGAAGACGGUCCUCUGGAUUGUAAACCACUGUCCCCAGGGACGAAGAUGACGGUACCUGGGGAGGAAGCUCCGGCUAACUACGUG
This 502-nucleotide ribosomal RNA is filed under the name uncultured Oscillospiraceae bacterium. Its description in RNAcentral is "bacterial SSU rRNA". It matches the Rfam family "Bacterial small subunit ribosomal RNA", at positions 8 to 507 of the family's 1533-position model. Lineage: Bacteria; Bacillati; Bacillota; Clostridia; Eubacteriales; Oscillospiraceae. The record is from RNAcentral.